GACGAACGCUGGCGGCGCGCUUAACACAUGCAAGUCGAACGGAAAGGCCUGCUUUCCCUUGUGGAUUGCGGGUACUCGAGUGGCGAACGGGUGAGUAACACGUGAGUGAUCUGCCCCCAACUUGGGUAUAAGCCUGGGAAACUGGGUCUAAUUCCCGAUAGGACUGCAGGGUGGUGCCUGUGGUGGAAAACGAUUUUCUAGUGGUUGGGGAUGAGCUCGCGGCCUAUCAGCUUGUUGGUGGGGUAAUGGCCUACCAAGGCGGCGACGGGUAGCCGGCCUGAGAGGGUGGACGGCCACAGUGGGACUGGGAUACGGCCCAGACACCUACGGGAGGCAGCAGUGGGGAAUAUUACACGAUGGGCGGAAGCCUGAUGCAGCGACGCCGCGUGGGGGAUGACGGCCUUCGGGUUGUAAACUCCUUUCGACCGCGAGGAAGCCACCUGGUUGGAAGGGUGGUGACGGUAGUGGUAGAAGAAGCACCGGCUAACUACGUG
Molecule: ribosomal RNA, 494 nt
Filed under: uncultured bacterium
Lineage: Bacteria
Description: partial 16S ribosomal RNA
Rfam family: Bacterial small subunit ribosomal RNA
Source: RNAcentral